GCAUAACGCGAAGAACCUUACCAGGUCUUGACAUCCUAGAAACUUUCCAGAGAUGGAUUGGUGCCUUCGGGAAUCUAGAGACAGGUGCUGCAUGGCUGUCGUCAGCUCGUGUCGUGAGAUGUUGGGUUAAGUCCCGCAACGAGCGCAACCCUCGUCACUAGUUACUAACGGUUCGGCCGAGGACUCUAGUGAGACUGCCUUCGUAAGGAGGAGGAAGGUGAGGACGACGUCAAGUCAUCAUGGCCCUUACGGCCAGGGCGACACACGUGCUACAAUGGGAUGUACAAUGAGACGCAAUACCGCGAGGUGGAGCAAAUCUAUAAAACAUCUCUCAGUUCGGAUUGUAGUCUGCAACUCGACUACAUGAAGCUGGAAUCACUAGUAAUCGUAGAUCAGCCAUGCUACGGUGAAUACGUUCCCGGGUCUUGUACACACCG
Molecule: ribosomal RNA, 437 nt
Filed under: uncultured bacterium
Lineage: Bacteria
Description: bacterial SSU rRNA
Rfam family: Bacterial small subunit ribosomal RNA
Source: RNAcentral